AACUCGUACCUGCUCUACUCCGUGGUGAUCAAUUCACUUUUAUUUUUGGCAGUUUUUGGUUUGCGUCGCAUGCACAGAGAAAUACACUUGCAUAAAGCAUUGCAGUUCGAUGUCUAUGUCUAUGGAAAUGUGCAUCAUGUUUUGCUUGCUUACACAGCAACAGUUGUGAGCUGUAGAUGUAAUGUGUACGUAAAUGUUUUUAUAUAAUUUUCUAUAAAUUGACGCAACGACGAUUGAAGCACGUGACCUGGCUGUGUUUUUGGACCACGCGGAUGUGUAUUUCGUUUGUAACUGCUGUACGGAAUGACAUUACACCCGAAAUGAGCUUUAGAUACUAGUGCAGUUAUGGAAACUUUAAAACGAAUAAACCUGGCUGCCGUGCUGGGAGAAGAGCUAGGGGAAAAAUAUGUCUCCAAAGGUAUUCAGUUAUGAACGCUGAGAGAUAUUGUUAAUUUCUAGUAUAGUGUGUGAUGUCUGAAUAAUUUUGUUUGUAUUUUGCUCCUGUAGUGACUCUGACUCAAGAAGCUCAGUUUGUUCUUUUGAGGAGAUGGCUGAAAGAAAAAGGAUUCACCUCACAAUCUCUCAUCCCUGUCAACUUCAAAAGCAAGUCGACAGCAUCCACAGUAGAUUGCUUGUAUGUAAAAUUUCCACACUUACAUAGUUUUGUUACUAUCUAUAUCCGUUCCCCUUAGAUACUGGAAGGGGGCUUAUGGCAACUCAAACUAUCAAGUACUACUUGGAGGAGUGUCCUCUUGGGGGCAGAAGUGAGCCAGGAUAGGGAGCAGUGGUGCAAUCACGAUGCCCUAAAGCUUUGCAAUAACCUCACCGAUGACAAUGUCAAAGCACUAGAGAGACUAUCACAGCUCAAACAGGGUGCAAACCGUUCUCUCCUUGAACAACUGUGUGUGGUGGAGAGCCUGAGACAAAAGGAGCAAAGGAUUCUGGAACACACACGAGUGGUUCUUCAAAACCUCUGGGGACAAUAGUCACUGUGGUAACAGUAGGGCAUUAGGAACACCGGGGAACCAGAAGCCUCACGCUGUCACUGGCAAGAUUUAGACACAAGCCAAGAGCCAGCAGCCCUUAACCUUAAAAACUACAGGGAGUCCAAAUUACUGAAAAGAAUAGUUCACCCAAAUCCAAAAAUUCUGUCAUUUAAUCACCCUCAUGUU
Molecule: long non-coding RNA, 1172 nt
Organism: Cyprinus carpio (common carp)
Lineage: Eukaryota; Metazoa; Chordata; Actinopteri; Cypriniformes; Cyprinidae
Source: RefSeq, a predicted model, not a curated record